GACGGUAUUUAACCAGAAAGCCACGGCUAACUACGUGCCAGCAGCCGCGGUAAUACGUAGGUGGCAAGCGUUGUCCGGAUUUAUUGGGCGUAAAGCGAGCGCAGGCGGUUUUUUAAGUCUGAUGUGAAAGCCUUCGGCUCAACCGAAGAAGUGCAUCGGAAACUGGGAAACUUGAGUGCAGAAGAGGACAGUGGAACUCCAUGUGUAGCGGUGAAAUGCGUAGAUAUAUGGAAGAACACCAGUGGCGAAGGCGGCUGUCUGGUCUGUAACUGACGCUGAGGCUCGAAAGUAUGGGUAGCGAACAGGAUUAGAUAUCCUGGUAGUCCAUACCCUAAACGAUGAAUGCUAAGUGUUGGAGGGUUUCCGUCUCUUCAGUGUUGCAGCUAACUCUUUAGGCGUUCCCGCCUGGGGGGGUACUGCCACAUAGCUAAAAACUCAGAGGACUUUUUAGGGGCCCGCA
This 460-nucleotide ribosomal RNA is filed under the name Liquorilactobacillus uvarum. RNAcentral's name for it is "bacterial SSU rRNA". It matches the Rfam family "Bacterial small subunit ribosomal RNA", at positions 471 to 925 of the family's 1533-position model. The record is from RNAcentral. Lineage: Bacteria; Bacillati; Bacillota; Bacilli; Lactobacillales; Lactobacillaceae.